Rattus norvegicus (Norway rat) is the source of this 1151-nucleotide long non-coding RNA. RefSeq lists it as uncharacterized. Lineage: Eukaryota; Metazoa; Chordata; Mammalia; Rodentia; Muridae. The record is from RefSeq and is a predicted model, not a curated record.
CACCAUUAUGACUCCGUGCAGCUAGCUUCUACUGGACACGUUUGGGAAAUAGUCUUCAGUCAUCCACUCGAGCUAGUGGAACCAUAAUUAAUAUGACAGUCUUAUAUGUACCCAAGAAAGGGGGAAAACGAGCUACAUUUCUUAAAGAAGCUGCUUAGGCGACGGCUCCAUGAAACACCAUAAUGGUGUGGUAGAGAGGACAAUCUCCUCUGACGAGAUGCCCAGAUCACUACUGCCUGUGUAACAUGGGAUUCCGGCUGAACUUCUCUCUCAUUUACAAAAUGCCACGGUUGACAGGAAAAGAAGGCUGGAUCUUUACGUGUCACUCAUCAGAAAAACCCCCCACUAAAUGGCUGUUUGUUGAACCUGUUUGGAUUCUGGCUGCCUGUGAACACGGAGGGUUGAAAAGUCAAGAAGGAAAGAGAGUUCGGUAGGAAGACGUGGACCAUUUUCACUGUGCACGCAUGCGCCUUCGUCUGUGUAGGCUGUCCUGCUGGAAACCACUUCCUUCCACUUUAUAGAUAUCCCGAGGUUUUGCCAACAGAAAGUACCAACGACUUAUAGCCUAUUGAGCAGAGACUGAUAUAUGGGAAGUGAUUUGUGAAACACUGCUCUGAGGCCAAUCCCUAGAGACAUGAUGCUGUCUCUUCAUGGAAACAGGACUCAAAAGGAAAAAUGAACUCUCAUUCUUCCAGUGGUCAGCUCCUGCGGCCAGUCCCCAGAGAGGGCAGGAUCAGAGGGCAGAUGCUGCUUUCGACUACAUUUAUAAACUUAGAUGGUUAAUUCUUUAUGUCUUACGUAUUAAGAGGACAUAUUGCAACAUUUACUUUUCCCCCUUGGGAUUUUUGUCUUCAUCAAAGAACUGAAAAUAUGACGUGUUGAAAUAAAACCUGGGCUAGAAGGAUUUCCGCCUAUCCCCUGACAUUUCUCCGUAAAGUAUUAAUGAUUCUUCUAUUUUUCUAAAUUACAGUGAUGGAUGCAUCUUAGCAAAGUGAAAAUUGAAUAUAAAAUGUUGUGAUGAAUUAUAAAUAUAGACAUAUUUCAUUCUCUCAUCUCAAUACUUUGCAUUAAAUAUGAGUGUUGCAUUUCUUUCAAGUGAUGGAGUUAAUUUUAUCUGAGAAAGUAAUAAAGCGAUCAUUCAUUUUUGAAAA